AUUGAACGCUGGCGGCAGGCCUAACACAUGCAAGUCGAGCGGAUGAAAGGGGCUUGCUCCUGGAUUCAGCGGCGGACGGGUGAGUAAUGCGCAGGAAUCUACCUAGUAGUGGGGGAUAACGUUUCGAAAGGAACGCUAAUACCGCAUACGUUCCGAGGAAGAAAGCAGGGGAUCGUAAGACCUUGCGCUAUUAGAUGAGCUUGCGUCCGAUUAGCUAGUUGGUGGGGUAAAGGCCUACCAAGGCGACGAUCGGUAACUGGUCUGAGAGGAUGAUCAGUCACACUGGAACUGAGACACGGUCCAGACUCCUACGGGAGGCAGCAGUGGGGAAUAUUGGACAAUGGGGGCAACCCUGAUCCAGCCAUGCCGCGUGUGUGAAGAAGGGCCUU
Molecule: ribosomal RNA, 389 nt
Filed under: uncultured bacterium
Lineage: Bacteria
Description: bacterial SSU rRNA
Rfam family: Bacterial small subunit ribosomal RNA
Source: RNAcentral